Molecule: non-coding RNA, 134 nt
Organism: Triticum aestivum (bread wheat)
Lineage: Eukaryota; Viridiplantae; Streptophyta; Magnoliopsida; Poales; Poaceae
Source: Rfam
CACGUACUCCCUCCGUCCAAAAAUAAUUGUCAUAAAAAUGGAUAAAAAAUAUGUAUCUAGAACUAAUAUACAUCUAGAUACAUCCCCUUUUAUUCAUUUUGAUGACAAGUAUUUCCGGACGAAGGGAGUGCUAC